Molecule: long non-coding RNA, 792 nt
Organism: Balaenoptera musculus (blue whale)
Lineage: Eukaryota; Metazoa; Chordata; Mammalia; Artiodactyla; Balaenopteridae
Exons: 7
Source: RefSeq, a predicted model, not a curated record
AGCACUUACUGCUCCCCCUUCUUCGUCCCGCCAGAAGCCCUGCUUGCGCCUUCCUGUGGAGCCAAAGGGAGAAGAGAUGAAGCAGAAGUAUAACAUGCAUCCAGAGAAGUGCAAAGACUUGGGCAUUUUACAAAGUGAAUAUCCCCAGCACCGAGAUCAAGAAACACUAUAAUCAGGAUCCAGAAGUCCCCCCAAAUAUCAGAGGCAAAGACUUCUGAAGCCCAGUGCUCCAACUUGAGAAAGCUGUGGAGGCUGUGGUUCAGGCCCGGGGAAUGAGCGUGGAUGAAGUAGAAUAGUAUGCUGACUAGACCAGUGCUUCUCAAACUGCAGUGUGCCACUGAAUGACCCAGGCGUCUGGUUGAAAGGCAGGUUCUGAUUCAGCAAGCUGGGAAGGGGAUGCUGCGAUUCUACAUUUCUGUCAAUCUCCUACACUUGAGAAAGAGCCAGAUGAGUCCAGAGAUUACAAACCCUGGAUCAACAUGGACUAUUCAGGAUGAAGCGCCAUGGUCCUGGGUUCUGACGCCCUCUGGUGGACACCUAGAGUUGAAGUUGGUAACCAACAAACAGACUACCGCGUCCAGCAUAAUGCCCUCCAAGUCCAUCCACGUUGCUGCACAUGGCAAAAUUUUGUUCUCUUUUAUGGGUCACUUCUCCAGGCUUUACUCCCAUCCACAGUCUGUUUGCCUGUGUUUACUUUUUAAGUCCUCAGGAUGUACACCACCAAGAGUGAAUCAUAAUGUCAACUAUGGACGAUAAUGAUGUGUCAAGUUAGAUUCAUUGAUUGUGACAAAG